Peromyscus maniculatus bairdii (prairie deer mouse) is the source of this 3346-nucleotide non-coding RNA. NCBI's taxonomy places the organism in Eukaryota, Metazoa, Chordata, Mammalia, Rodentia, Cricetidae. The record is from RefSeq and is a predicted model, not a curated record.
UCAUCCCACUUGGCCAUCAAGGACACCAAGGUCCAAAGCGGCUGUGAGUAGUCCAGAACUGAGAGCGGAUCCGGAUGACACCAGUUCAGCUGUAGACGACGGCUAUGUCUUCUUCAAAGUCACGGGGCUGCGGAGAGAGAAGUUCUUCACCAUCUGGGAAGUGUUAGAGGUCCAGAAAGGGUCUGAUGUGGGGAUGAGAAAAACCUGUCUUGAGGGCCUUUUAAUCAGGAACGCAGAAACAUAAACGUCUUCUCCCUUGCAAAGAAGUCUGGAUUCCCAGGAGACACCGGACCACAUCAUCGGUCCAGGUGGGCCCAGCCGGGCUGUCAGCUCAGCUGGCCCAACAAUCGAGGAGUCAGCUGGCUGGGCUGGUUUCUAGAAACUCCCGAUCUAAACCGUUCUCGCCGGUGGCAAAAUUCAGCUCCUUCGGCUAUAGGACGGAAGGCCACAGCUUCCUGCUGGGUGCCAGCUCCUAGAAGCUGCCUCUCUGGGAUUCUUUCCUCCAUGCGGGCCCCUCUGUCUUCAAAUCACCCCCAGAUAUCUAAGCUGGCACCCGAUGACAUCGUGUCCCGCUCUCAACUGGAGACCUCUGCUUCCAUGAUGGGUGGAGAUCCGCCAUCCUUUCAGGAGCUCACCGUCGCUCAGCGGUAGCCUUAAUUCCAUUUUAGAAUCCCUUUUGCCUUCUGAGAGUUCCUGGAUUGUGGGUCUGAGAGCUCAUCCUCAUCUGGGAACAGGCUGGGAAGUCUUGGGAAUCUUAGUUAGAAUUCUGACUCCUCAUAGAGACCAGACAUGGCUGCCGUGCUGGGUCAGGACUGUGUGUUUAUCUUUCUGGCCCCCACGCCACCCUUGGAGAAGAGGGUAAGCCCUUUGCUCUCCUCUCUGGGCCUGGCUCUGGGCUUUCUGUGACCCAAGAAGGAGCCCUGCCUCGGCACCUGGGGACCUCGCCUCCCACGUAGCACGUCUUUCUUUCAGAGUGGUAGGCAUGUCACCCCCCGCCCCCCAGCUCUAGACUGGCCUCUGCCCUUCCUACAGCUACGUGCCUUCUCCGCCAUCCACACUCGCCUACUCCCUUCCCACUCCUGGCAUCCGGUGUCUACCAGCACUCUGCCUUAACAUGCUCUCUCCCUUACCCUAGUGGGCACCUGCCAGGCCACAUGUCCCAGGCGCUAUGGUGACGACUGGGAUGGAGUCUCUCUUGCACGCUGCUCUAUUCCCGACCCGGGCCGGGGCUCGGUGCCAGGAGUAUAGCGGACAUUCUAACAAACUUAUGGUUUCUCUGGGUUGUAUCCGUGGGGUCCGUUCCCUGCUCCAAAUCUGGACAUGUGUCACCACUGUCCUCUCCAUGUGGGAAGUCCGGGUCCUUCUCUUCCUCGGACUGGGAACAAAGCAAAGCUCUAGUGUGCGGUCCAGCGGGAUGGAAUGUUGCUACGUGUCCUGUCCGUCUCCACUGUGCAUCUCACGUGCACAGAGACACCACACACCACACACAGAGAGACUCUGUGUUCUCCUUGGCCUGUGGCUCGGAGAGCAAGAGCUACCACCCCACGGCUCACAUCCCUUUGACAUACCUGGGACACCUUCAGCUGACCUCUGUGGAUUUGCUCUGCUGGCCUUGAUCCCUGAGUUUGGGCCUGUGUUCUCUCCGGAGCCCAGUGACCCACCCACUUCCUCUUGGGAGACCAGCCGAGGACAGUGAGGUUUGAAGAACGUCCUAAUCCCAGCUCCAGAGCUCCGCAAGAGAAAAUGACUAAAAGCCCUGGAAUGUAGAGCCUGUAGCUUCCUGCUGGGCAUUCUGAAUGAAACACGUAACCCCGCAGCUGCAGUUGACAAGAAGCCUCCCGAGGGAUGCCACCCCAGAGCUUUGAGCAGGGCAAGCAAGCUCUUGACUUGGUCCUAAGCCCCAGUGCCUGUCCUUCCUGCUCCCCUUUGAGGAACCAGCCCCCGACACACCAAUCACGUUUCUGUUGGUCUUAUUUAAAUGCUUCCCAGCUCCCAACAGCCUGGCUCUUUAAGUGGCUGAGAGGAGGAGACACUCCCACAUGCUCACCAACCUCAAAGAACAUUCCAGAUCUCCCUCUCUGUUGUCCCAGGAGCAGGUCCCCAUGCUGCAGCUCGGCAGGGUCACGCUGUUUCAAGCCAAGUGGGGAGAUGCAGCUCUCCACAGUCGCUCAGGGAUGUGGGGUGCAGGAGAGACUCCCAUGGCUGGCAGCUGGAAAAUCCCUAAAGGGACUUCCUGCAUGAAGGGAGGGUACACCAGCAUGCUUCCAGGGUCUCUGGGGAAAGUCAAGAUACACACUGGUCUUGAAGGUAUAGCCCCAUGAACUUGGAUACAGAUACACCCCAUCUGCAUAUAGUACAGAGUAUUUGUAGAAUGGCCCAGAAGGUUCCCUGGAGCCCCUUCCUACAGGGAUUAUCCAUCCAACUCUAUGUAACCACACUCACAAAUUUCUUUUGCCAUCUGUUAACGCUACCCGGCUUUGAACUUGAUUCACGUGGGAUUUCGGAUAGUGUAUGUGCUCUCUCUCUCCUGUGCUGCCCAUCUUGGACCUGCUUCUGGGCUUUGCAUUACCUGGAUGAGUUCCCUCUGCAUCCCUGGGACAUUGCCUCUUGUUCAUUAUGACUUCCUUCCAGAACUGCAGCCACAGGAUUCCCAGGUCUGAAGGGUUCACAAUAUGGCCCCAUGGUUGGGCGUGUUUGCAUAUGCCCGGCGGACACUUCCGCCUAGCCAGUUCCAGAUCAGGGUAGCCAUUUCCGAGUGAGGGCAUCUCGAGUGACCAGGAUGCCUGGCAGACCUGGACACUUCUGCCUAGCCAGUUCCAGAUCAAGAUAACCAUUUCCAGGUCAAGGCGUCUCGAGUGACCAGGAACCAUGACGUGGCAUGGCUACAUAGGCGCAACGUGGCCAUGUGAUCUACGCGCACGCAUGGAGUAGUGACAUCGACCUGUGCACGCCCGGCCUUUAAAAUAAGGCGCCAUGUUCCCGGUUCCUUCUUCUUCUCCACACACGUGUUUCCUACAGGCCUGCACACUCUCUGUCCCUUUAUCUUUAAUAAAAUUCUUAUUGGCGGAUUCUGUCGUGUUUCGUGACAUUUCCUUGCAGGGUAAGAGCACAGCCUGGCCAAUUAACUAACAAGGUCCCUGCCUGGGCUCUGCCCUUCCCUCUGUUCCCUGGACACCGUGAGUCUCCGUGACCUUGUGAUCAUCACCACUCACCUACUUCCUUCCCACGCAGACACACACUAACAGCUCUCUGUACCUUCUGUACCCCAGAUGUGUAUGAUGUCCACUUCCUGUCCAUUUGGUAUUGAAUUCAUUUGAAUGAUAAGGGAGUUUGUUAAAUCAGUCAU